AAAAAGACAAACUCUAGGUUUCUGUGUCCAACUUUGAUUGUCCGUCUUAUAUGAAAUAUUUUUAUAAUUUGUAUUUUCAUUGUUGUUAGAUGAUAAAACAUGAUUAAUAUUUUAUGCGUGACUUGUCUUUUUAAUUUUUUUCAUAAUUUUUUUAAAUAAGACGGACGGUCAAACGUUGGACACAGAAACCAGGGUUUGUCUUUUU
This 205-nucleotide microRNA precursor is filed under the name Oryza glumipatula. RNAcentral describes it as "MIR812 microRNA precursor family". It matches the Rfam family "MIR812 microRNA precursor family". The record is from Rfam by way of RNAcentral. Lineage: Eukaryota; Viridiplantae; Streptophyta; Magnoliopsida; Poales; Poaceae.